Molecule: ribosomal RNA, 497 nt
Filed under: uncultured bacterium
Lineage: Bacteria
Description: partial 16S ribosomal RNA
Rfam family: Bacterial small subunit ribosomal RNA
Source: RNAcentral
GACGAACGCUGGCGGCGUGCCUAAUACAUGCAAGUAGAACGCUGAAGUGAGGAGCUUGCUCUUCUUGGAUGAGUUGCGAACGGGUGAGUAACGCGUAGGUAACCUGCCUUGUAGCGGGGGAUAACUAUUGGAAACGAUAGCUAAUACCGCAUAACAAUGGAUGACACAUGUCAUUUAUUUGAAAGGGGCAAUUGUUCCACUACAAGAUGGACCUGCGUUGUAUUAGCUAGUAGGUGAGGUAAUGGCUCACCUAGGCGACGAUACAUAGCCGACCUGAGAGGGGGAUCGGCCACCUUGGGACUGAGACCCGGCCCAGACUCCUACGGGAGGCAGCAGUAGGGGAUCUUCGGCAAUGGGGGCAACCCUGACCGAGCCACGCCGCGUGAGUGAAGAAGGUUUUCGGAUCGUAAAGCUCUGUUGUAAGUCAAGAACGGGUGUGAGAGUGGAAAGUUCACACUGUGACGGUAGCUUACCAGAAAGGGACGGCUAACUACGUG